Molecule: non-coding RNA, 241 nt
Organism: Cinara cedri
Lineage: Eukaryota; Metazoa; Arthropoda; Insecta; Hemiptera; Aphididae
Source: the annotation of a GenBank genome assembly
AUUGUGUAUACUUUUCAAUUCAAUCUAAUUCGAUUCCGAACAUACAAAAAUUAUGCAAUUAACGGGAAGAAUGUAUAUGUUCCUGUAAUUGUUCUCAUUUGGUGUAUGCUGACAGUCGCCAGUUAAUGUCGACAUACACCAAAGUCAUUGGUAAAUGUUUGGCAUAUUGAUUAAAUUUGUACUUAUUUGUAAAUGUACACUAGUGAAUGCCGACAUUUAUUGAACGAUUUUGGCGAAGUUG